UUUGAGAUCCCUUGUUCUGGCUUAGAAAAAUUGUUAAAAAUUAUAGAAAAAUAAUUUUGGGGUAUAAUUUAUAUUCCUAGAAUCUUGGGUGAGUCUACUUUUAAUAAAAACAAAUUAGAACAUCAUCCGAGUUUUUUACUAUGAGAUAAAUAAAUUUUAGUGAAGAAAGGUCGAAGCUGUUAAACAACAAAAUAGGGGAGAUUUUGAAUAAUAAACUGUACUUAUUUGCUGGACUAAAAAUUCUGAAAAUUUUAUGGUGGAAAGAUAUAUGAGUCUAGUUUUUUUGAAAAUUUACGAAUCUUAAUUUGGAGUUCCGUAACUCUAAAUAUAAAUGAUUUAGUGACUAUUACUCAAGAAAAUAGCUUAACCAGAACAUGUGUAAAUGUACAAAUGAGUUAGUUUUAUUGUGGGAAGCAUGUUAGUAAAUUGCUUAUUAUUAUUUCAUGUCAGCUUACUAAGCAUAAAACUUACCACCCUCCUUUCCAUUUCUUUUAGUGUUUUCAGGUUAGCUCAGGGUUGGAGACCGUUGGAGGCAACAUCACACUAUCAAGCCAACACUUUGACAGUAUAAACACAUAUGCUAGAUUUAUCAAGUGAGUGGCAUGUAUAGGGACCUAAUUUUAUAACAUGUGUUAUUAUUAUUUGGCCAAAUAUAUUGGUCUUUAGUGAGCUAAUGAUUCUGACUUAUAAAUCUAGCUAUUUAUGUUAUGUUUGAUAUUAGUGAUAUGCAUAUGCUUGGUUGUCAUGCAUGGUUGGUAAUAAGUUGUUUAAGUUGUUUAAUUGAUGAAUUAAGUUUAGAAACACUUCGUGCUUGACUCCGGCGAUGGUCUUGGGUACGGGGGCGUUACAGUUUAAGACAGACAGCCUUCAAAGGAAAGUAUGGUGGGGCUAGUUAUGUGGACGCUGGCCGGAAAGAAUUUCUGAACCUGGUCCAAGGGAGUAAGUCAAUGGCUAAGUAUGAGUCUGAGUUUCUGAGACUGAGCCGGUAUGUUUCUGGGAUUGUCGCUAUAGAGUAUGAGCGUAGCGUACGCUUCGAGGAUGGUCUGAGAGAUGAACUUAGGGUGCUGAUUGCUCCGCAGAAGGAGCGUAACUUCGCUGCUUUAGUAGAGAAAGCUAAGAUAGCUAAGGAAGUGAAGCAUACAGAAAGACAGAAUCGUGAAAAAGAUCGGAACCGUUUUAGGAGAGAUUUAGGACUUUCAGGUGGUAUGAACAGGAAUGUUAAGAGAGCAAGGGUAAUGGAGCCUGUUCGAGUAGUACCGAUGAAUGCUGUUAGACCGCAGGUGUAACACCCCAAACCCGACCAGGAAGUUUGGCUUGAAUCUGGUGUGUCACAUUGAAGUGUUUUUCGGAAACCAUGUUUCCAUUAAAAACCCUUCUUAAUAAUUAAAAACUUGUAACCUUUUUAAACCUUGUUAGAAAACCUCAGCUGAAUAACAUUCUUAACAACUUUGUAAAAAAUCCUGGCAGUUGCGGAAGCUUAAUUUAAAAACAAUUGCGGUUACGUGAUGUUUUGAACAACAGUAGCUGCUUUGGAAAACCGUGUUCUAAUACUAGUAAUUAUAAGAACAAUAAAUAAAAUUCCAAAUUUGAAAUCCAGAAAAUUACAACGGCUUUACUACAACCCACAUAAAAACAUUUAAAAGCAAUAAUCAAAACUAUAACAUAAAAAGUGUGUGUGGCUUCCUCCGAGCCCCUCGCAGGCCCGAUCCGUCUAAAUCUGGAAAUUACCUAAAAGGUUAAUAAACGGGGUGAGUUUACGAAAACUCAGUGUGAAAUCCCCUACUAUAUAAAAGGAACAGUCAGUCAUAUAAAAGAAUUAAAAGUUGGCCCCAACCCUACUUACAGUUUCAGUAUCAAUUGGGCGUUAGCCCAUUUUAACAGACAGUACCAGAUGGGCUUUAACCCAUUACAGAAUAAGGAACAUUAUCAGAACUAGAAUCAGAAUCAGAAUCAGAAUUAGGUGAUAGAAUCAGAAUCAAAAUCAAUAUUAUGUGACAGAAUCAGAAUCAGAAUCAAUAUCAGGUAACAGAAUCAAAAUAAGAAUUAGUAUCAGGUAAAAGAAUCAAAAAUCAGAAUGUGAAUGAAAUCCCAACCCAAUCCAGCCUAUAACCAACCGCUACACUCCACCCGUACCAGCCCUACACUCCAUGUGGGGAAUAGCUCAACCCACCUAGCCCUACACUCCACAGUUGCAACAUUGCUGCUCAGUUAUCAGAGGUAUUUACCCUACAGGGGUAUUCCGAUAAUUCUACCCUACAGGGGUAUUCCGGUAAUUCUACCCUACAAGGGUAUUCUAGUAAUUCUACCCUACAGGGGUAUUUCGGUAAUUCCACCCUACAGGGGUAUUUAGGUAUUUCUACCCUACAAGGGUAUUUCGAUAAUUCUACCCUACAGGGGUAUUUCGGUAAUUCUACCCUACACGGGUAUUCCGAUAAUUCUACCCUACAGUGGUAUUUCAGUAAUUCUACCCUACAAGGGUAUUUCGGUAAUUCUACCCUACAGAGGUAUUGCGAUAAUUCUACCAUACAGGGGUAUUUCGGUAAUUCUACCCUAUAGGGGUAUUGCGAUAAUUCUACCCUACAGGGCUAUUUCGGUAAUUCCACCCUACAGGGGUAUUUCGGUAUUUCUACCCUACAAGGGUAUUUCGGUAAUUUUAUAAAUCGAGGGUAAAAUGGUAAUUCUGUAAAUCAAGGGUACUUUGGUAAUUUUACAAGUCGAGGGUAUUUCAAUAAUUUUACAAGUCGAGGGUAUUUCAGUAAUUUCACAAAUCAGAGGUAUUUUGGUAAUUUCACAAAUUAGGGGUAUUUUGGUAAUUUUACAAACUAAGGGUAUUUUGGUAAUUUUAUAAACAAAGGGUAUUUUAGUAAUUUUACAAACCAGGGGUAUUUUGGUAAUUUUGUAAACCAAGGGUAUUUUGGUAAUUUUACAAACCAGGGGUAUUUUGGUGAUUUUAUAAACCAAGGGUAUUUUAGUGAUUUUACAAACCAAGGGUAUUUUGAUAAUUUGGUAAACUAAAGUAUUCUAAACAGGGAUAACAAUACGAAUGGCCCUAAAGCCUUUUCUAGGCCCAAAUGGGCCCACACGCUCGUGUGGCCCUCUUAGCCCAAAAUCUAGCCACAAAUAUGAGAUUCACCUAGCCAGUCCAAUAUUUACUACACAAUCAAACAACUUAUCCAAUUGGGCCCGUAGACCCAUUAGGCCCACAUGACCCCUUUCGGCCCAUCGCUUCCCGAAGUAGCCAUCCUACAGCUAGAGUAGCGAGAAAUACACACCUGAUUGGAUACUGGAGUUAAUCCACGCUCUGAGCACUCUUAGCCGACGCCCAACCCAAACGAGCACGCCAUAAAGCGAAAGGGAUCAGCCAAGAAAUGUACCUUUACUCUCCUCAUGGUUCUUUAUAUUUAAAGCCAGCUUCGCAUCCACUCUUAUGUUAGCUUCCCGAUGUGGGAUUCCUCCAUCAUCAGAGUUUAAAUUCAACACCAACUCUUGCCGCCCCCUGUUAGCAAAAUAAAUGCUCUUUGCUUGCCAUGGGAUUCGAACCCAUGCCUCCCCUUAAAUGCUCCACACGCUACUUGCCACUAAGCCACAAGGCUUUUUGUGUCACAAUUUCUCCAACAAUAUUCUUAAGGCCUACCUACUACACCCAGGGUUGAUUCACCUUAAACCAAAAUUUUUGCUAGAGUCCAGGUUUGAACCCAGGACUUUUCCAACACUUUUCAGCACACUUAACCACUAAAACAAGCCUUCAUUAACGAAAUUUUCACGCACAACAGAAUAUUAUAAGUUGCCUUCAGCCGCUCCCAUGCUUAAGGCCCAAAUUCAGGGUGUUACAGCAGGGUUGUAGAAAGUGUGGGAAGAUGCAUAUGGGCAAGUGUCAGAAACGUUCUGGUGCUUGUUUCCGAUGCAGAUCUAUGGAGCAUAGGGUUAAGGAUUAUCCCCAAGAACCAGAUCAGGUUCAAGUUUUAGAGCAGAGGGUUGCUCAACCAGUGAGGGGUGGACCAUAGUUUCCGAGAGGACGUGGGUAAGGCAGAGGUGGUAAUGGAAACGGUCGAGGAAGAGGAGCACCUGGCAGGGGUGUUGGAUUUCCUGAGGCUCGUCGCCUAGAGGAGGGUGAUGCACCUGACGUCAUAACUGGUACAUUUCUGAUUUCCAGUAAGCCAUACACUGCGUUGAUAGAUGUUGGAUCUACCCAUUCAUAUGUUGCAUGUACUAUAUCUGGGUUGCUGGGUGUGCGCUCUGAGGAGACCGUGAGUAGGGUAUCUAUACUAAGUCCUUUGGGUCACUCGGUUAGGUUAGAUAAACUGUAUAGAGAUGUGCCUAUAGAAACUCAAGGAAAAGUUUUCUCUAGAGAUCUGAUGGAGCUACCUUUCAGAGAAUUCGAUCUCAUUUUGGGAAUGGAUUGGCUUGUUAAGCAUAGGGCUACUCUGGAUUGUGCUAUUAAGCGAAUAAUGUUAAAGACCACAAAGGAUGAGGAGGUUUUGGUGAUAGACGAGCGUAGGGAUUAUUUGUCUAAUGUGGUGUCGACAUUGAGAGCCAAGAAGUGGAUUCGAAAGGGAUGUGAGGCUUAUUUGGCAUUUGUAAGCCAAUCGAAAACUGAGGAUCUGACAGUGGAUAAAGUUAGAACCGUCAAGGAUUUUCAAGAUGUUUUUCCAGAGGAGCUUCCAGGUUUGCCCCCGAACCGAGAGGUUGAGUUUGGAAUCGACUUGUUGCCUGGAACGGCACCGGUGUCCAUUGCACCUUAUAAGAUGGCACAGAAGGAGUUGGUGGAGCUGAAAGCCCAAAUUCAAGAGUUAUUGGAUAGAGGCUUCAUUAGACCAAGUGUGUCUCCGUAGGGAGCACCAGUGUUGCUCGUAAAUAAGAAAGAUGGGUCAAUGCGGAUGUGCAUUGAUUAUCGGCAGUUGAACAAACUAACGAUUAAGAACAAGUACCCACUACCGAGAAUCGAUGAUUUAUUUGACCAACUUAGAAGAGCUUCAGUAUUUUCCAAGAUUGACCUUCGAUCUGGGUAUCAUUAGUUGAGGGUUAAAGAGGUGGAUAUUCACAAGACGGCAUUCAGAACUCGGUAUGGCCACUAUGAGUUCUUGGUUAUGCCAUUUGGGUUGACGAACGCACCUGUGGCAUUUAUGGAUCUGAUGAAUCGAGUGUUCCAGCCAUACUUGGAUCGAUUCGUGGUCGUCUUUAUCGAUGAUAUUCUGUUUUAUUCUGAAAUUGAGGAUAAGCAUGAUGAGCAUCUUCGUAUUGUGUUGCAAGUGCUGAGGGAGAAGGAGCUUUAUGCGAAAUUCAGUAAGUGUAAGUUCUGGUUGAGAGAGGUAACUUUCUUGGGGCAUGUUGUCUCUGCUGAAAGGAUCAAGGUGGACCCUCGAAAGAUUGAAGCGAUUCUAGAAUAGAAGCCACCGAGGUCAGUGUCAGAAAUUUGAAGUUUUCUAGGUUUAGCUGGGUACUAUAGAAGGUUUGUGGAAGGAUUUUCUGUGAUGGCAGCGCCUUUUACAAAGCUUAUAACAAAGGGAGUACCGUUUGUUUGGACUGAGAAACAACAGGAAUUUUUUGAGAAGCUGAAGAAAGUUCUGACUGAGGCACCUGUACUGAUUCAGUCGGAGUUUGGAAAAGAUUUUACCGUAUGCAGUGAUGCAUCACAUGUAGGGUUGGGCUGUGUGCUGAUGCAAUAGGAAAAAGUGGUUGCUUAUGUAUCGCGAUAGCUUAAACCACAUGAAGUUAACUAUCCUACUCAUGAUCUGGAGUUGGCAGCGGUAAUUUUUGCGCUUAAGAUUUGGAGACAUUACCUGUACGAAGAAAGGUGUAUUAUAUACAUAGAUCAUAAGAGUCUUAAGUACUUGCUGACUCAGAAGCAGCUGAAGCUUAGGCAGCGGAGAUGGAUAGAGUUGCUUAAGGAUUAAGACUGCACAAUUGAGUAUCACCCAGGCAAAGCUAAUGUGGUGGCUGAUGCCCUAAGUCGUAGAACUGUAUCUAAUCUGAGAGCCAUGUUUGCUCGUUUGAGUCUGUAUGACGAUGGUAGUCUGUUAGCAGAACUGCAAGUUAGGCCAACUUGGGUGGAUGAGAUUAAGGAAAAACAGUCGAGGGAUGAGUCCCUGGUUUCUCGAUUCUGGCAGUUUAAGAAUGGGGAUACUUCUGAGUUCGAACUGAACAGUGAAGGAGUUCUAUGUUACCGAGGUAGAGUUUGUAUUCCGAAGGAAUCUGACUUGAGGCAAGCAAUUCUGAAAGAAGCUCAUAGAGGUCUGUGUGCUAUGCAUUCUGUGUGCUGUGCAUCCUGGAGGGAGUAAAAUGUAUCGCGACUUAAAGAAGUUGUAUUGGUGGCCUGGAUUGAAGCGAGAGGUAACGAAAGUUGUGGGAAAAUGUCUGACUUGCCAGCAAGUGAAAGUUGAACAUCAAUUACCUUCCGGACUUUUGCAUCCAGUGAAAGUACCAGUUUGGAAGUGGGAGAGGGUAACCAUGGAUUUUGUGAGUGGGUUACCCUUGACACCAUCGAAGGACUCGAUUUGGGUAAUUGUGGAUAGGUUGACCAAAUCUGCUCAUUUCAUACCUGUCCGCACUGAUUAUUCACUUUAGAAGUUAGCCAAAUUGUAUGUGGCAGAAAUAGUACGACUUCACGGAGUACCAGUGUCGAUUAUUUUUUAUCGAGAUCCUAGAUUCACAUCUCGGUUUUCGCAAAAGUUGCAUGAGGCGUUGGGUACGCGGUUGAACUUUAGUACAGCCUUUCAUCCUCAGACUGGUGGUUAGUUGGAAAGGGUUAUUCAGAUUCUGGAAGACAUGUUGAGGGGAUGUGUUAUCGACUUUCGAGGCAGUUGGGAGGAUUACUUACCGUUGGCAGAGUUUGCUUACAACAACAGUUAUCAUGCAAGUAUUCGAAUGGCUCCUUAUGAGGCACUAUAUGGGCGAAGAUGUCGUACACCUAGUUGUUGGACUGAGUUGGGUGAACGACAGGUUCUUGGACCUGAGUUGGUGGCAGAUACUGAGGAUAAGGUCAAGUUGAUUAGAGACCGGUUGAAGGAAGCAUCUGAUAGACAGAAGUCAUAUACAGAUUUGAAGUGCAAGGAAAUUGAGUACUCUGAGGGUGAUAUGGUCUUCUUGAAGGUUUCACCUUGGAAGAAAAUAUUAAGGUUUGGGAGGAAAAGCAAGUUAAGUCCGUGGUUCAUUGGGCCUUAUCAGAUUAUUAAGCGAGUGGGUCCAGUGGCUUAUCAGUUGGAGCUACCUCUAGAGUUGAAUAGGAUUCAUGAUGUCUUUCACGUCUCCAUGUUAAGGCGGUAUCGUUCUGACCCUACUCAUGUUGUUUCGGUUACAGAGAUCGAGGUCCAAACAGACUUGACUUUUGAGGAAGAGCCUGUGCAGAUUAUGGAUCGAGAUGUUAAGAUUUUGAGGAGGAAAUCAGUUCCGCUAGUAAAGGUUCUGUGGCGUAAUCAUGGCAGAGAGGAAGCUACUUGGGAGCCAGAAGUGGCAAUGCGUCAACAAUAUCCUCAUCUGUUUGAUUCAGGUAAAAUUUCGAGGACGAAAUUUCUUUAAGUAGGGUAGAGUUGUAAUGCCUCAAUUUUCGGGUUUUCUGUGUUUCUGUGAUUUUUAAAAUUUGUGUGUGUUCUGGUUGGUUAAAAUAUAUAUUUUAGUAGGUUAGUGGGCCUUUGGAAGGCCCAAACUUAAGUUAAAUUUGUGGUAGUCUUUGGAAUUUUAAUUUUAUGAUCAGGUGAUGCAAUUGGCGUUUGGGCUUUUGAGAGUAAAGGGUAAAAGAUGACACAAAAAGGAGUGUGGUGUAGUGGCAAGGUGGCGCCAUUUAGGGGACAAGGAAGUGACGCCAUAGAGGAAGCAAGAGGUCCAAGGUUCAAGUCUUGGCUCUUGCAAUAUAUUUUGGUUUUUCUUUUCAAUAAAUCUGGAAGCAAAUAAGUGCGCUUUAAAGUUUAUUGUGUUGGAUUUAUGACACAAAUGAGUUGAUGGCCUAGUGGUGGUGGCGUGAGUUGGCAUGUGAGAGGACUUUGGUUUGAAUCCCUUGGCACACAAAGGUUGAUUAUUUUGCUAUGUUGGGACGGCAAGAGUUGGUGUUGCUUUUAAACUCUGGUGUUGGAGGGAUCCCAAAUCGGGAAGCUAACAUAAGAGUAGAUGGAGAGCUGGCUUUAAAUAGAGCAAACCAUGAGGAGAGUAGGCAUACCCUUCUUGGCUGAUCCCUUUCGCUUUGUGACAUGCUCGUUUGGGUUGGGCGUCAGCUAAGAGUGUUUGGAGCGCAGAUUAACUACAGUCUCCUAACAGGUGUGUAUUUCUCAUUACUCAAGCAGUAGGACUGCUAUUUCAGGCCGCGAUGGGCUGAAAUUGGCCAUGUGGUCCCAAUGGGUCCGUAGGCCCAAGUGGAUAAGUUGUAGAAUUACUAAAAUACCCCGGUAGGGUAGGACUACCGAUUUACCCCUGAAGGGUAAAAUGACUAUUUUGCCCCUCAUGCGAAAAUGACUAACUUAUGCGAUGAUUGGGUUAGUUGACGUGGAUUUAUGUUAGUUAUCGUUAAUUCGUAAGUCUAAUGUGUUAGUGAUCGAUUGUAGGAUUAUCGCGUGGGAGAUAUCGUCAUCAAUCGUCAUCAACCAGGUGUGUAAACGACACCCUCCCUUAGACUGAAUUGGUAAAAGUUGAAAUAUCGAAAGUUGGUAUUUUGUGAACUCGCGAGCGUGCGAGUGCUUGUGAGAUAGUUGUUAAUGAAUCUGGUGCAUUUGGAUGAUUAGAGUGCAGAGUGUGCAUUUUCGUGCACAACAGUUUUUUUGGGCUUAAUGGGCCGAAAAUGGGCCAAUAGGCCAACGGGCCCACUUUGGUAAAAAGAUGAGGUAUGUACUUCUGAUUACUUGGUAAAUGUUAGAAUGAGGAUGAAACCUUAGCAAUAGGUAACAAUUACUGAAAUACCCUUAUGCAUGCAAAAUUACGAUUUUACCCCUAGGGUUAUUUUUUCUGAAAAGCAUGAUGUUCUGUUUCUGUAUACGUAUGCCAUGACAUAUUAUUUUUGUUGCAUGGGACAUGGGUUUAUAUUGAUAGAGGAAGCGUUCUGGCAGCCUCGCUGCAAUCUGGUUGUUUCGCCACAUAUAUCUGUUCUGUUGACUUCGUCACAAUAUCUGGCAGCCUCGCUUCAAUCUGGUGGCUUCGCCACACAUAUAUAUAUAUAUGUUCUAGUGGCCUAGCCACAAUAUCUAUAUUUGGUGACUUCGUCACAAUAUCUGGCAGCCUCGCUGUAAUUUCUGUGGUGUGUAGCGGUUGGGUGGGUCUAGUAGUCUCCCCACAUGGUGUAAGGCUGGUACGAGGGUGUUAUGGAUGGCUCUGGGUUGGGAUUUCUGCAUUCAUGAUAUAUUUGUUCUGUAUCUGCUAUGGGCUUAUGGGUUUCAUUUUGAUUUCUGUACUGGGCCAAGGCCCAGAUAAGUCUGACUCUGAGGUUUGAUCUGUUUUGGGCUAUGGUUGGGUUAUGUUACACACUGAGUUUACUGAACUCACCCUUUAUUUUCAUCUCUGCAGGAAAUCCCCAACCAUAGUGAGCUUGGAGCUGUGAGGGAUUCGGAGUGGCCACAUCAUCUGCAAAGUUGGUUUUUCUAAGUUAGUUUAUUUUUAUUAUUUUUAUAUUCUGAUUUAAUUUUGGGUUUUAAGUUGUAAUAAGGCCGCUAUUUAAAUUUAUUUUUUCCGCUAUGGUUUUAUUUUCUAAUUAUAUUUAUACUAAGACGAAACUGCUAGUGUUAGGAUGCGCGGGUUUUCAAAAUUAAUGAACGUUUUCAAGACUCAACAAGCACAACAAAUAGAUAGCCUAAAGAAUGAUAAACUGGCUUUUCAUUCAACCGCUGUUUUUACAAAGACCACCCCGAUCACUUAAACCAGCGAAUGCAUACUAAGUCAUAAGUCCAUGUGACACGUCAGAUCUGGCCAUAACAUCUGGGCCGGGUUUGGGGUGUUACAUUUACUCGGUUUUGAAUUAUUUCUAUGUUUUUUGAGUCGUUAUAGCUUAAUUUAACUAGCCUAAGGACUAAUUUGUGAAACUGUUAAAUUAUUAGGGUUUUACCAUUGAUGAAUGUGUACGUGUUUUGAUGUUUGAUGGAAGAAAAUGACCUUUGUUGUUAGAUAAACAACUUUUGUAAAGUGAUUAUUAAUGAAUUUGUUAAAUAGGGAUUAAAUUGAUAAAAUGUGAAAAUUAUUGGUAAAUGUGUGAAAUAAUUAAAUGUAUGGGCUGCUAUGGGUCUAUAUAGAAUUCGGCUUGCAUGGGUGUGGGUUAAAUUGCAUGAAUUUGCAUUUUUAUGAAAUAGGGACUAAAUUGUAAAGUAGUCAAAUGUUUAGGGGCAAAAUGGUAAUUUUUUCAUAAUAUGACAUUGGAUUGAAUUGAAUAGAGUAAAUAUUAGAGUUGUUAAUUUUGAUUAUAUAGAUUAAGAAAAGCCACGUUUAGAAUUAGAUUUGGGGGAAAACAAAGUAGUAGAUUGAUCAGCUGAUUUUCUUUGUAUUAAUUCGAGGUAAGUUCGUAUAUUAAUAAGCUUUAAAUUAUAUAUGUUUAUAAAUGCUUAAUUAAUCCAAUUGGGAUGAUAUGUUACUAUGGAAAUUCUCUACGAGAUGUCGUUAAUUAUUUGGAUCCUGAUUAAACCUUAGGAAUAGAUAGGAUACAAAUGACAUGUCAUUAAGGGGUAAUUGUGUUUUGGGUGCUAGUUCCGUACGUUUUACUGGUGGCUGAAUUUUUCGUCAUGUGUUGUGGUUGCUCAUUAGCUUGUGUGAACAACACCGUGUAGCUAUGUCUUGAUCGUUAGCUUGUGGAGCAAACCCAGUGAUAGCUCAAGAGUGAGCAUCUAUAUGAGAUAUGAGAUAGAGAUGGUCUCGAUCAUGUAUUGGCACUUUAUGUGCGAGAUUCUUGAGUAUCUAAUAUUAAUCCAAAUGGUUCAACAGGUAUAGUGGCAUUACGAGAGUAUAUGAGUUCGAUAUGAACCAAUACAAGUAUGUACGCGAAUCAUAUGGAAGUUGAAUCUAUGAGAUUUGUGAUUUCAUAAUUAACUUGUUGGUGGUUAUAUGUUAAGCUAAUGAAACUAAAUUGAAUUGCAUUAUGAUUUAAAUUACUUGCUUAAUUAUGGUUGAUUGGUAAGUUAUAUUUGCAGUUAUAUGAACUUAGUAAGCUUAAUUGCUUAUUUUGUUUAUUUUUCUGUGUUUUAUAGUGAUUCAGAAGUUCGCUCGUUUUGGAAGUUGUCGAAGAUUGUAUCACACUAUCGAACUCUUAUUUUGGUACUUUUGGACUUAAUGUAUUUUGGUUACAUGGCAUGUAUAAGUCAUUCGGCUAAUGAAAGCCUAUAUGGUUUGUUAUGUUUUAGCUAUUGAUGUGGCUUGACAAUGGUAUAUGUUUUGAUAUGUAAAUAGAUGUAAUUGGCCCUUAGAUAUAUGAUUUAUAAUUUCUAUGUGAUUGCCUCAUUUUGAAUUGCUAUGUAAGGUAGCAAAUGGUUGAAAUUGAGAAUGUAUACGCAUGCUAAGUUUUAGUUUAGAUAGUGCAUACAUGUAAUUGACUAUUUAAGUAGUUUUUUGAGGAAAUUUUGGCAUGUUUUAAAAUGAUCAUUUGAGAUGCCAAAGAACUUAGGAUUUUUGGUAAUGAAAUUGCAUGAUAUAGACUUAGUUGUGAUUGGUUUGAAUUCCUUUUGAUGAUAGGGUCAUAUACUAUCUGUUAUGUGCAGGAUGGUACCACAUUGGGUGAGAAAUAAGGCUUGGAAAAUGGCCUAUUUUUGUCCAUACAGGUAGAGACACGGGUGUGUGUCUCAGCCGUGUGUUACACACAGCCAGGUCACACAAGCAUGUGUCCCCUGAUACUUAGUUAGUAACNNNNNNNNNNNNNNNNNNNNNNNNNNNNNNNNNNNNNNNNNNNNNNNNNNNNNNNNNNNNNNNNNNNNNNNNNNNNNNNNNNNNNNNNNNNNNNNNNNNNNNNNNNNNNNNNNNNNNNNNNNNNNNNNNNNNNNNNNNNNNNNNNNNNNNNNNNNNNNNNNNNNNNNNNNNNNNNNNNNNNNNNNNNNNNNNNNNNNNNNNNNNNNNNNNNNNNNNNNNNNNNNNNNNNNNNNNNNNNNNNNNNNNNNNNNNNNNNNNNNNNNNNNNNNNNNNNNNNNNNNNNNNNNNNNNNNNNNNNNNNNNNNNNNNNNNNNNNNNNNNNNNNNNNNNNNNNNNNNNNNNNNNNNNNNNNNNNNNNNNNNNNNNNNNNNNNNNNNNNNNNNNNNNNNNNNNNNNNNNNNNNNNNNNNNNNNNNNNNNNNNNNNNNNNNNNNNNNNNNNNNNNNNNNNNNNNNNNNNNNNNNNNNNNNNNNNNNNNNNNNNNNNNNNNNNNNNNNNNNNUAUCUUGAGUUCAGAAACUUGGAAUCCAGUUCCGUAAAUUUUCCCUGAAACUAGACUCAUAUGCCCAUCUACAAAUUUUUCUCUAGAAUUUUUGGUUGGGCCAAUUAGUACAGUUUAUUAGUCAAAUUCUCCCAUUUUACAGGGAUCGACUACACUGAUCUUUGCGCAUUACGACUUGGAUAUCUCCCUGUACAGGGCUUCAAUACUGAUGCCGUUUGUGUCUAUAGAAACUAGACUCAAAGAGGAAUCUAUACAUAUAUGGCUUGACUCCUAAUUGUCUCUGGUUAAUUUAUAUUGAAUUUCCAAAGUCGGAAAAGGAAAUCCAGAAACCGUUUUGGCUCUGUCUCAGGAGAACCUGAAUAUCUCUUAACAUACUGUCCAUAUGAUCGUUUCGUUACUUUCCUAUGAAAAUAGAUUCAUCAAGGUUCGUUUACAUAAUUUAUUCACUAUUUAAUUCCAUUCCUACUAUUUUUAGUGAUUUUCCAAAUCUACAUCACUGCUGCUGUCAGCAUCUGCCUUUAAGGUAGACUUUACCUAUUUCAUGGUUUCCAUGAUUCAACUAGCCCUUUUUGCAUAAAUAGCACAAUUUAUGAUAGUGAUUAAUCAUUCCCAUGGCCAAUCCUUGUCAAGCAUAUCCACACCAAAUGAUUAUAACAUUAUACUCAAACACAUAUAAGCCAUUUUCGCAUGGCUAUCCAAAAUUAUACAAGUCCAAAGGGUCCAUGACCCACAACAAACGGGUAGUCCUAUACAUGCCAUUUCGAAGUUCAACCAAAAUUGUACCAAAAAGGGGGGGGCUUUGAUAGUGUGGGCGACUUUGACUUCAAAAUCCUGAGUCCGAUAGCUGGAGAACCAAAAUCUAUAAAACAGAGGAUCAAAGAAACGGAGUAAGCAAUUUAUGCUUAGUAAGUUUUGAGCAAGGAAUUCCAGCACAACAAAAGUAUAGCAUUCAUGUAGCUAAACGGAUAAUUUCAUAUGCACAAUUUUUCAAUAUCAUACUUGCUUCACAUUACCAAACCUUAUGUACAUACACAAAAGAUCAACUUAGCCAAAGGCCGAUAGCUCGUUUAUCAACUGAGCGAAUACUUAUUUGUAAGGGCUAAACUAAAUUCAAGCACAUACGAAACAUACCUCAAUGUUGGGAUGUUUCUAGAGUAUUUACUGAAAUUUUUACAGCAAGAUCAUUCAUUCCCAAAUCACGUACCUUCGGAAUUUAACCGGAUAUAGCUACUCGUUCAAAUGCCUUCGGGACAUAGCCCGGUUAUAGUAACUCGCACAAUUGCCUUUGGGACUUAACCCGGAUUUAGUAACUCGCACAAAUGCCUUCGGGCUUAGCCCGGAAUUAGUAUCUCGCACAAAUGCCUUCGGAUCUUAGUCCGGAUAUGGUCACUUAGCACAAAGCCUUCGGGACUUAGCCCGGACAUCAUUCAAAUAACCAUGCACAUUUAACAAUAAAUCAUGGCACAUUCGUAUUUCGUUCUCAAUAGCAAAACUCAAACACAAGACAUUUAUCAUUCUUGCAAUUUCGGCUCAAUAGCCACACAAAGAGCAUGAUUUUAAUUUGCUUAAAACAUGAUCUAAUCAAAUCAUAAUUUAAGCUCUUUUACUCAAGAACUUACCUCGGGUGUUGUCGAACGAUUCCGAUAGCUAUUCGACCACUUUUUCCUUCCCUUUAUCGGAUUUAGUUCCCCUUUGCUCUUGAGCUUAAUUAAACAAAUAAAUUGAUUUAAUCAUUUGAGCAUCGAAAAGAGGAACACAAGGCACUUAGCCCAUAUUUAUACAUUAGACAUUAAAGUCACAUAUGUACGGAAUCAUGAAUCAAACUCAACGUUUUAGCUAAUUUUCCCCCUUGGCCGAAUUUUCUAAGCCAAGACAAAAGCAUCAAUAUGCUUGCCUCUAACCGAAUACAUGCAACACCAAUCUUCUUCUUAUGGCCGAAUAUGCAUGUCUAUGUUGAGGCCGAUUAUAUACUUAAUACCACACAUAAAUGACAUACAUUUUACUAACUAAUGCAUUCCAUAUUAUACUCAAUACGCAUCCAUCAUUUAAUCCAUAACCGAAGCACCAUCAUGUGCAAUCAUAUAUAUAUAUGUGCAAGAGCCGAAUCCCAAAUUUUGAUUAUAACCAAAUUUAAACAUAUAUCCAAAACAUAAAUCUUACCUACCAUGCAAUAAGCAUAAAUCACACUCAUGGAUAUACCAUGGCCGAUACUUCCAACAACACCAAAUAAAAAUAUACUUCAUGGAUCUAAGGUAGAACCAAGAAAGAAACUCAUAAUCAUCAAGAUGUAAGUAACUACCAUUUUUCAUCUAGAUUUAGCAUGAAACACAACCAUCACCCUUAUUAAUCUCCAUAGCCGAAAACCUUACUUAUUCCAAAAAUUCAAAUCUCAACUUGGUCACGAAAAUAACUUGGUAUCUCACCGACACAACAUCAACACCAAGCAAGAAUGAUGCAUCCAUGGCCGAGUGUCAUUUCCAUCACAUAGCAAGAUUUAGACCAUGGGCUAGGUAGAACUCAAGCUAACAACUAAAACAUGCAUCCAUCUCAUGGAACAUCAUCAAACAUACCUUAGCCUAGUUACAUGAAUGGCCGAACCCCUUCAACCUUUCUUCUUCCUUCCUCCUUAAAUUUUUUUUUUGGCCAAAGAUGAACCAAAGGAUGAGCACUUUUUUUUUUGUUUUUCUUUCUAGUUUCGGCAAAAUGGGGGGGGGAGACAACCACACACUUUUUUUUUUGUUUCCAUCAUAUUCCCUUUCAUUAUUUUAUGCCCAUUCUCCUUAUUUUAUUUUUUUCCACCCAUGAUGCACCAACACAACAUGUCUAUGACAUGUCUUGCCCAUCACACUUGGUCUACCAUGCUUGUCAUGGCCGGCUACUACUAAUUAGGGGGGAAAUUUGACAUGCAAGUCCCCCCUUUUUAUUUCAUGCACUAAUAGGUCCUUAUGCUUCGACCUAUCACAUUUCAAAAAUGUCGCACAUAAGUCCUAUUGACUAAAUUCACAUGCAAUCGACUAAAUCGAAGCUUGAAAUUUUCACACAUUCAUAAUUACAUAUUCUAGACAAUAAAUAUCACAUUCAAACAUUUCGGUGACUCGGUUUAGCGGUCCCGAAACCACUUCCCGACUAGGGUCAAUUUUGGGCUGUCACAACUCUCCCCCACUUAAGAAAUUUUCGUCCCCGAAAAUCUUACCGGUAAAUAGGUUUGGGUAUCGUUCUUUCAUCGAGCUCUCGGUUUCCCAAGUAGCUUCCUCAAUCCCGUGUUUGAGCCAUAACACCUUAACUAACGGAACCCUUUUGUUUCGCAACUCUUUCACUCCACGAGCUAGGAUACGAAUCGGUUCUUCUUCAUAACUCAAGUCAGAUUGAAUUUCAACUUCUGAGGGAUUAAUCACAUGUGACGGAUCGGAUCUAUAACGUCGAAGCAUCGAAACAUGAAAGACAUCGUGAAUCUUUUGAAGUUCAGGCGGCAAAAUCAAUCUAUAUGCAACCGGACCAACUCGUUCGGAGAUUUCGUACGGCCCAAUGAAUCUCGGGCUCAACUUGCCCUUACGGCCAAAUCUGAGUACAUUUUUCCAAGGCGAAACUUUAAGAAACACUUUAUCUCCCACCUGAUAUUCAAUGUCUUUUCGUUUCAAAUCCGCAUACGAUUUUUGACGACCUGUGGCUGCUGUCAGACUUUUACGGAUUACCUUUACUUUCUGUUCAGCAUCCUUAAUCAAAUCAACUCCGAAAAUUUUACUUUCACCGAGAUCGGUCCAAAACAAUGGUGUACGGCAUUUACGACCGUACAAAGCCUCGUAAGGUGCCAUCUUAAUACUUGAUUGAAAACUAUUGUUGUAAGCGAAUUCAAUCAAAGGUAAAUACCGUUCCCAUGAACUACUGAACUCGAGGAUGCAACAUCUCAACAUAUCCUCAAGUAUCUGAAUUAUCCGCUCAGAUUGACCAUCGGUUUGGGGGUGAAAAGCAGUGCUAAAAUGCAGCUUGGUACCCAAAGCUUCUUGCAAUUUCCUCCAAAAUCGCGAGGUGAAUCUCGGAUCUCUAUCCGACACGAUAGAAAUAGGUACCCCGUGUAAUCUCACAAUCUGAGAAACAUACAAUUCGGCUAGUUUAUCCAAUGAAAAAUCCGUACGCACGGGGAUAAAGUGAGCCGACUUAGUCAGUCUAUCAACAACAACCCAAAUCGCAUCCUUCUUACUUGCUGACAAUGGCAGUCCGGACACAAAGUCCAUUGUGACUCGAUCCCAUUUCCACUCGGGUAUCAUGAUCGGCUGAAGUAAUCCUGAAGGCACUUGAUGUUCCGCUUUCACUUGUUGACAUAUUAAACAUCUCGAAACAAAGUCGGAGAUGUCUCGUUUCAUACCAUGCCACCAAAACCAACGUUUCAAAUCGUUGUACAUUUUCGUACUCCCCGGGUGAAUUGACAUUCGGCUACAAUGGGCUUCGUUCAGAAUCAUCGAAAUGAGUUCCGAAUUCCUUGGAACACACAAACGACUUCUGAACCUCAAACAAUCAUCAUUAUCAAUUUGAAACUCUGAUUCCUUGUUCGGAACACACUCAGCCCGUUUUGCAACCAAUUCAUCAUCAACUUUCUGGGCUUCACGAAUUUGAUGAAUCAAUAAUGGUUUGGCUUUUAAUUCAGCUACUAACACAUUGUCGGGUAGAAUAGACAAGUGCACAUUCAUCGCUCGUAAAGCAAACAAUGAUUUCCGGCUUAAGGCGUCCGCAACCACAUUAGCCUUUCCCGGGUGGUAAUCAAUGACAAGCUCGUAAUCUUUCAGCAACUCAAGCCAACGUCUUUGUCGCAGGAUUUAAGUCUCUUUAAGUCAUCAAAUAUUUGAGACUUUUGUGAUCCGAAAAUACAUGGCACUUUUCACCAAAUAAGUAAUGUCGCCAUAUUUUUAAAGCAAAUACGAUGGCAGCUAGUUCAAGAUCAUGGGUCGGAUAAUUUUUCUCAUGUGGCUUUAAUUGUCUCGACGCAUAGGCCACCACUCGACCUUCUUGCAUCAAUACGCAACCCAACCCAAGUAGUGAUGCGUCACUAUAAAUGACAAACUCUUUGCCUGAUUCGGGUUGCACUAAAAUUGGAGCUUCAGUCAAAUAAGUUUUUAGUUGAUCAAAACUUUUCUGACAUUUCUCCGUCCAUUCGAACUUAACAUCCUUUUGAAGUAGCUUCGUCAUUGGUGUGGCUAUCAUCGAGAAAACUUUGACAAAUCAUCGGUAAUAACCGGUGAGCCCCAGGAAGCUCUGAACUUUGGUAAUAUUUCUUGGAGGCUUCCAGUUAAGUAUGGCUGAAAUUUUGCUCGGGUCAACUCGAAUACCUGAUGCGGAUACCACAUGACCCAAGAAGCUAACCUCUCUUAACCAGAACUCACACUUACUGAACUUAGCAUAUAACUGCUUAUCCCGCAAAAUUUGCAACACUAGUCUCAGGUGCUCAGCAUGUUCGGUCUCAUCUCUUGAAUAGACCAAGAUGUCAUCAAUGAACACAACUACGAACCGAUCCAAAUAUGGUCUGAAGACCCGAUUCAUCAAAUCCAUAAAUACCGCAGGGGCAUUAGUGAGCCCAAACGGCAUCACUAAGAAUUCGUAGUGACCAUAUCUCGUUCUGAAGGCAGUUUUUGGUAUGUCCGAAUCUCGAAUUCGCAACUGAUAAUAGCCCGAUCUCAAAUCUAUUUUUGAGAACACUGAGGCUCCCUUCAGUUGGUCGAACAAAUAUUCGAUACGCAGUAACGGAUAUUUGUUCUUUAUCGUCACUUUAUUCAGUUGACGAUAGUCAAUGCACAACCUCAUGGUUCCGUCCUUCUUUUUCACAAACAAUACUGGUGCACCCCAAGGUGAGAAACUUGGUCGAGCAAAACCUCUAUCCGUCAAUUCUUGCAACUAAGCUUUCAACUCUUUUAACUCGGUUGGUGCCAUACGAUACGGAGCCAUCGAAAUCGGCGUAGUCCCAGGUACAAGCUCAAUACCAAACUCUAUCUCCCGAACAGGUGGUAAACCCGGUAAUUCUUCAGGAAAAACAUCCGGGUAUUCACAAACCACCGGCACAGAUUCGGGUUUCUUUUCUAAUUCUUUGUCAUCAAGUACAUACGCAAGGUAUGCUUCGCACCCUUUUCUUACAUAUUUCUGGGCCAACAUUGAGGAUAUUACAGCUGGCAACCCAUCCAAGUCCGUAGACUCAACUCGGAUUACUUCGUUAUUUGCGCACCUCAAUUCAAUAGUCUUGCUUUUGCAAUUCACAACCGCAUCAUGCACGGUCAACCAAUCCAACCCGAGAAUAACGUCAAAUUCAUCAAAUGGCAAAAGCAUCAAGUCCGCCGGAAAACAGGAACCUCGAAUUACUAGGGGACAUUCCUUACACACUUUGUCGACAAGCACGUAACGACCCAAGGGAUUUGACACCCGAAUUACGAACUCAGUAGACUCAAUAGGUAAAGUCUUACUGGAUGCUAAGGUUUCACAUAUGUAAGAAUGAGUAGAACCGGGGUCAAUCAAAGCAAUUACAUUAGUAUCAAAGAGAGUAAAAGUACCGGUAAUAACAUCAGGCGAAGAAACAUCCUCGCGGGCACGUAUAGCAUAAGCUCUAGCAGGCGCAUGAGCCUCGGAUCCGGUCGUAGCAUCUCUAGAUCCUCUCUGACCACCACUAGCAUUGCCCGUAUUUCCAGAUGGUCUACCUCGAGCAGUGGUAGCACCCGGUUUCCCACUCUGAUUUACAUUCUGUUCAGACAACCUCGGGCAAUCUUUAAUGAAGUGGUCAACUGAUCCGCACUUGUAACAGGAGCGGUCAGGGAAUCUACAACUCCCCGAAUGCCAUUUACCGCAAUAUCGACAUUUCGUUCUGUCUCGACGUUCAUUCCCAACACUGGCGACCGAAGUGCCUCGUGUACCCACAGGGGGUCGAUCACGAUCUCGUCUAAAAAGGCCCGAAGUGCCUCUAGACCGGCCCACAUCAUCUCGAAAUUUCUUCGAUGCCUGUUGAAGAGACUUUCCCGAGGAUCUUUUACGAAACUCUCCGGUUCCCACAUCAACCUUUUGUUUUUCUUUUCUAAGCUCUUCGGCUUUACAAGCUCGCUCGACAAGUACUACGAACUCUCAUAUUUCAAGAACGCCAACGAAUAUUUUUAUAUCUUUAUUCAGCCCAUCCUCGAAGCGUUUACACAUGAUAGCCUCGGACGAAACACAUUCCCGAGCGUAUUUGCUAAGUCUAACAAAUUUUCGCUCGUAAUCAGUAACCGACAUGGAACCUUGAUUAAGCUCAAGAAAUUCCUUCCGUUUUUGAUCAACAAAUCUCUGACUGAUAUACUUUUUCCGAAACUCAGUUUGGAAAAACUCCCAAGUUACUUGCUCUCGGGGUACAACAGAAGUCAGAGUACUCCACCAAUAGUAGGAAGAAUCACGUAGCAAGGAGAUAGUACACUUUAGGCAUUCAUCGGGUGUACAAGAUAGCUCAUCGAGUACCCGAAUAGUGUUGUCUAACCAAAAUUCAGCUUUCUCGGCAUCGUCGCUAUCCGUAGCUUUAAAUUCAGUAGCCCCAUGUUUUCGGAUUCUGUCAACUGGGGGCUUAUUUGACCUUAUUUGGUCAGUUACCAGAGGUAUUGUAGGUGCGGGGUUGGUAUUUGUCGAGAAUGGAGGUUGUGGAAUAGCCGUAUUAGUUCGAAUGUAUUGGUUGAACCAAUCAUUCAUCACGCUAUAGAAAGCUUGUCUAGCUUCAUCAUUCGGGUUACUAGCAUUAGGUUGAGAGUCCACCGGUGCUGUCUUUGGUGCGGGAGCAGGCGCUACACUCUCAAGAUCAUCAGCUACCACUCGGUCGGGAUCGGGAUCCAUUACUAUAAAUAAACACAUUUGCAAAUGUCAGAAAUCACCACACUAUCAAAUAAUCACAUAAAAUGGCAUGUAUAGCUAGACCCAACGCAUUACGGUAGUCCUAGAAUGGACUAAACCGUAGCUCUGAUACCAAUCAAAUGUAACACCCCGAACCCGAGUCCGUCGCCGGAGUCGGACACGAGGGGUUUACAGACUUAAGUCACUUCUUUGCACAAUCCAUUUUAAAAUUUUCCAGGCAAGCUGGCUAACUGCGUCACUGUCACCUUAAAAAUCAUAUCUUGAGUUCAAAAACUUGGAAUCCAGUUCCGUAAAUUUUUCCUGAAACUAGACUCAUAUGCCCAUCUAAAAUAUUUUUUCUAGAAUUUUUGGUUGGGCCAAUUAGUACAGUUUAUUAGUCAAAGUCUCCCAUGUUACAGGGAUCGACUACACUGAUCUUUACACAUUACGACUUGGAUAUAUCCCUGUACAGGGCUUCAAUACUGAUACCGUUUGUUUCUAUAGAAACUAGACUCAGAGAGGAAUCUAUACAUAUAUGGCUUGACUCCUAAUUGUCUCUGGUUAAUUUAUAUUGAAUUUCCAAAGUCGGAAAAGGAAAUCCAGAAACCGUUCUGUCCCUGUCUCACAAGAACCUGAAUAUCUCUUAACAUACUGUCCGUAUGAUUGUUUCGUUACUUUAAUAUGAAAAUAGAUUCAUCAAGGUUCGUUUACAUAAUUUAUUCACUAUUUAAUUCCAUUCCUACUAUUUUUAGUGAUUUUCCAAAUCUACAUCACUGCUGCUGUCAGCAUCUGCCUUUAAGGUAGACUUUACCUAUUUCAUGGUUUCCAUGAUUCAACUAGCCCUUUUUGCAUAAAUAGCACAAUUUAUGAUAGUGAUUAACCAUUCCCAUGGCCAAUCCUUGUCAAGCAUAUCCACACCAAAUGAUUAUAACAUUAUACUCAAACACAUAUAAGCCAUUUUCGCAUGGCUAUCCAAAAUUAUACAAGUCCAAAGGGUCCAUGACCCACAACAAACGGGUAGUCCUAUACAUGCCAUUUCGAAGUUCAACCGAAAUUGUACCAAAAAGGGGGGGGCUUUGAUAGUGUGGGCGACUUCGACUUCAAAAUCCCGAGUCCGAUAGCUGGAGAACCAAAAUCUAUAAAACAGAGGAUCAAAGAAACGGAGUAAGCAAUUUAUGCUUAGUAAGUUUUGAGCAAGGAAUUCCAGCACAACAAAAGUAUAGCAUUCAUGUAGCUAAACGGAUAAUUUCAUAUGCACAAUUUUUCAAUAUCAUACUUGCUUCACAUUACCAACCCUUAUGUACAUACACAAAAGAUCAACUUAGCCAAAGGCCGGUAGCUCAUUUAUCAACUGAGCGAAUACUUAUUUGUAAGGGCUCAACUAAAUUCAAGCACAUACGAAACAUACCUCAAUGUUGGGAUGUUUCUAGAGUAUUUACUGAAAUUUUUACAGCAAGAUCAUUCAUUCCCAAAUCACGUACCUUCGGAAUUUAACCGGAUAUAGCUACUCGUUCAAAUGCCUUCGGGACAUAGCCCGGUUAUAGUAACUCGCACAAUUGCCUUCGGGACUUAACCAGGAUUUAGUAACUCGCACAAAUGCCUUCGGGCUUAGCCCGGAAUUAGUAUCUCGCACAAAUGCCUUCGGAUCUUAGUCUGGAUAUGGUCACUUAGCACAAAGCCUUCGGGACUUAGCCCGGACAUCAUUCAAAUAACCAUGCACAUUUAACAAUAAAUCAUGGCACAUUCGUAUUUCGUUCUCGUUAGCAAAACUCAAACACAAGACAUUUAUCAUUCUUGCAAUUUCGGCUCAAUAGCCACACAAAGAGCAUGAUUUUAAUUUGCUUAAAACAUGAUCUAAUCAAAUCAUAAUUUAAGCUCUUUUACUCAAGAACUUACCUCGGGUGUUGUCGAACGAUUCCGAUAGCUAUUCGACCACUUUUUCCUUCCCUUUAUCGGAUUUAGUUCCCCUUUGCUCUUGAGCUUAAUUAAACAAAUAAAUUGAUUUAAUCAUUUGAGCAUCGAAAAGAGGAACACAAGGCACUUAGCCCAUAUUUAUACAUUAGACAUUAAAGUCACAUAUGUACGGAAUCAUGAAUCAAACUCAACGUUUUAGCUAAUUUUCCCCCUUGGCCGAAUUUUCUAAGCCAAGACAAAAGCAUCAAUAUGCUUGCCUCUAACCGAAUACAUGCAACACCAAUCUUCUUCUUAUGGCCGAAUAUGCAUGUCUAUGUUGAGGCCGAUUAUAUACUUAAUACCACACAUAAAUGACAUACAUUUUACUAACUAAUGCAUUCCAUAUUAUACUCAAUACGCAUCCAUCAUUUAAUCCAUAACCGAAGCACCAUCAUGUGCAAUCAUAUAUAUAUAUGUGCAAGAGCCGAAUCCCAAAUUUUGAUUAUAACCAAAUUUAAACAUAUAUCCAAAACAUAAAUCUUACCUACCAUGCAAUAAGCAUAAAUCACACUCAUGGAUAUACCAUGGCCGAUACUUCCAACAACACCAAAUAAAAAUAUACUUCAUGGAUCUAAGGUAGAACCAAGAAAGAAACUCAUAAUCAUCAAGAUGUAAGUAACUACCAUUUUUCAUCUAGAUUUAGCAUGAAACACAACCAUCACCCUUAUUAAUCUCCAUAGCCGAAAACCUUACUUAUUCCAAAAAUUCAAAUCUCAACUUGGUCACGAAAAUAACUUGGUAUCUCACCGACACAACAUCAACACCAAGCAAGAAUGAUGCAUCCAUGGCCGAGUGUCAUUUCCAUCACAUAGCAAGAUUUAGACCAUGGGCUAGGUAGAACUCAAGCUAACAACUAAAACAUGCAUGCAUCUCAUGGAACAUCAUCAAACAUACCUUAGCCUAGUUACAUGCAUGGCCGAACCCCUUCAACCUUUCUUCUUCCUUCCUCCUUAAAUUUUUUUUUUGGCCAAAGAUGAACCAAAGGAUGAGCACUUUUUUUUUGUUUUUCUUUCUAGUUUCGGCAAAAUGGGGGGGGGGAGACAACCACACACUUUUUUUUUGUUUCCAUCAUAUUCCCUUUCAUUAUUUUAUGCCCAUUCUCCUUAUUUUAUUUUUUUCCACCCAUGAUGCACCAACACAACAUGUCUAUGACAUGUCUUGCCCAUCACACUUGGUCUACCAUGCUUGUCAUGGCCGGCCACUACUAAUUAGGGGGGAAAUUUGACAUGCAAGUCCCCCAUUUUUAUUUCAUGCACUAAUAGGUCCUUAUGCUUCGACCUAUCACAUUUCUAAAAUGUCGCACAUAAGUCCUUUUGACUAAAUUCACAUGCAAUCAACUAAAUCGAAGCUUGAAAUUUUCACACAUUCAUAAUUACAUAUUCUAGACAAUAAAUAUCACAUUCAAACAUUUCGGUGACUCGGUUUAGCGGUCCCGAAACCACUUCCCGACUAGGGUCAAUUUUGGGCUGUCACAUCGGCUAUUGAUUUGGUGAUUAAGGUAUGGUUUUUGAUCAGUUUUUUAUAAUUUCUACGUUUUUGUGAUUGUUGCUUAGAGUUCUAUCAAGCCCAUGUCUCAAUUUCUGAUUUUGAUGAUGAUUUUUAAAUAUGCCAUUGAUGAAAUUAUAAGCUUUGUGAAGUUAGUUGUUAGUAAAUGAAAGACAUGCUUUGGGUUAACAUAUUUUGUACUUGAAUAUUUGAUGAAUUUGAGUAAUUUGGACUAAAUUAUGAAAUUUGUAGAUUGAGGGACUAAAAUGUAAAAUAAAUGAAACAUAUGGGCUUAUGUGAACACAAUGAGAAUUCGGCCCAACAUGGGUAUAUGCAAAUUUUUUGUAUUUUGUGAUUUUUGUGAAAUAGGGACUAAAUUGUCAAAAUAUGAAAAUAUAAAGGCUAAUUUGUAAAAUGCCAUAAAUGUGUGUUUGUGGAUUGAUUUGAAUGAUUUGGUAAAUAAAAGAAUUAAAUUUGAAUUUAUAUAGAUCAAGAAUUAAAAAAAAUGGAAUUAGAUCGGGGAAAGUCAAAAGUCAUCGAGUAGCCGAUUUCGUCUUUCCGAAUCCGUACGAGGUAAGUCUAUAUACAAAUAAAUGUAUUUUAAAUGGUUUAUUUAUGCUUAUAUGUUAUUGAACAAUGAUGAAUGGCUUUAUGCUUUGAAUAUGAGACAUCUAAGAAAGUAUCGACAAAGUUUCGACGUCUAAAAAGCCUCGUACGAACCUUAGGAAUAGUUAGGAUACAUAUGUCAUGACAUAGGAUCCGAUAUGUGUUAUCAUGUAAGACCAUGCCUGGGACGUUGGCAUCGUACUUGAUUUCGUGUAAAACCCUGUCUGGGAUAGUGGCAUCGAUAUUUGAUUACUUGUAAGACCACAUCUGGGACGUUGGCAUCGUACGAGCUUUCCGAGUUAUCCGCCUAUCCUUAUGAUUUCAAGCGGUUCAAUAGGCAUUCCGAGAAAUGAAUGAUAAUAUGAAAUGUGUAUCUGAUUCAGGUACGUUGGAACUUGUAUAUCAUAUUUGAUGUUGAAAGGUAAGUAUAUGUAUCUUUAUGAUCAAGUGAUUAUAUGUGACAAAAGUAUAUGAAAAUAUGCAUUAUGUGCAAAUGAAUGGAGAAUAUGUGAAAUGUAUUUGAGCUAUGUGUUUUGUGAUAGCAUGUGGUUAAAGAUUAUAUGUAUAUUAUGAUGCUCAUAUGUUUGUAUUGUUAAUUUUAUUUGUAUAUAGCUUACUAAGCUUUUGAAAGCUUACUUUGUAUGUGUUUGCUUUGUUUUACAGAUAUCGUAACUAUUGAGAGCUCGGGGAUCGUCGAGGAUCGUCACCACACUAUCGAACUAUAUUUUGGUACCUUUUGAAAAUGUAUAUAUUGAAGUAUGGCAUGUAUAGGCUAGAGGUAUGUUUUGUGAACUGUAUAUUUAGCCAUAUGAAAUGGCUUAAUUAUGGUUAAAUUUAUGGUUUGAUUUUGGUAUAUGAUAUAUGAUGCAAUAGUGGUAUGUUUGAUGUGUUCAUGAUUGGCCAAAGAAAUUGGUCAAAUUGGUAAGUUUUUGAAUUGUGCUUAUUUGAAAAAAAAAUAAGAUUAUGGCAUGAGAGAGAAUAAUGUAUAUUACAGUUAUAAAUCAUAUGUUUUGGUAUGUAUUUGGCUUAUGGAAUGAUAUGAUUUGGUAUGUGCUUCAAUCAUGAAAUAUGUGGAUAAUGAGUUGGUAUAAAUGGUGUAUGUUUUGGUUGUGAAAUGGUUGAAAUUUGAUGUGCAAUUUGUGCCUAUAUUAUGAUUGUAGGGAGGACCCUUAUGAGUGGCAAGUUGGCCUUAUAAAUGGCAUAUUUUUGCCCACACGGGCAGGGACACAGGCGUGUAUCUCAGCCGUGUUGCUCGAGGGCCAUCUCAAAAUGAGUCUGAGCAGACCACACGGUCGCACACAUGGGCGUGUGCUAGGCCGUGUGUCCAAGUUAGUUUCGACCACGAGCUAGACACACGGGCGUGUGACUGGUUGUAUAAUUCAAGCCAGUAGCCUCCCUAAUUUUCACAUGGCCUGGCACACGGGCAUGUAUUGUGGCUGUGUGGACAAGUCAGUAUUUUUGCCCUAUUUUGACAUGGCCUAGACACACGGGCGUGUCUAGUCGUGUGAGGCACACGGCCUGUUCACACGGGCGUGUGACCUGUACAACUUUGAAAAUAACGUUUAAGUUUUGAAAAAUUUUGUAUGAGCUUAGUCUAGUCCCGGCCCCUUCCUAAAGCGUGAUUAAGGUCUUGAUGACUUAUAUAAGGGACUCUAAAAUAAUGUUUGACUAUGUUUGUGGAUGAAGUUAUUGAAUUGUUCAUAAAAUGUUUCGAUUUGUCUGGUAAUGCCUUUAACCCUUGUCUGGCGACGGAUACGGGUUAGGGGUGUUACAUGAAACAUGAGCAAAAUGAUUGUAAGUUUCCAAGAACUUAGUUAGUUUGAAUAAAAAAUACCUUGAAGCCUUUCUAGUUGAAAUCUUCAUUAUGAAUAUUCAAAUUAUUGAUCUUUCUUUGGCGGACACCUUCAAAACAUCGAAUAUAUAUUCUUAUACGCCACUAAAUAUACUUAACGUGUCACUCUCACUUUACUACUUGGCUGACUCUAAGUCUUACCAGAUAAAAUCUACAUCUUUUCUUCUCCUAGAACAAUCGAUGGUGAUUCUUCAAAGAAUAUCUACAUAGAGCCUAUUUUCUGCAGAUCUUCUCUUUGAACAACAUUUAACAUUUUUCUCCAAAAUGGUUUUCGUAGAUACUAUUCCUUGGGAGAUACAUACGAAUUGAUCUUACACUGGAUGGAUUUCCAUACUAAGUUUGAUAACUGUCAGACUACCAUUCAGACCAUAUCCUGAACCUAAACCCAAAUCAAACGUAAGUUGAUGAUGAAAUAUUCUAGAUCAUUUGGAAGAAUUUCAAACUCCUUUGUUGCAUGACACAAUAAUGCCCAAACUGACAAACGAUUCAUAUUCCAAAAACCUCAAAUUCAGAUAUAAUACUGUUUAGAUAUGGUAGAUACUAGAUAACACGGAUUUCAACCUUACUUAGCGUAGACAAACUCAAAUCAAUGAAUACUUAUACCUUUCAUAACUAAUAAAAUGCCUGUAUCCCAUACUGAUGAACUUCUUUGGCGGAUUCUCUCUUUAGAAAUACUGAUAUAUACUUUCAUUGUAAAACCGUCCCUUAAGACUUCUUCUACUUCAUCAUAAAAUUAACCGGCAAAGUUAACUUUAGAAUGUCUCAAGUCAUUAUCAUAGAAUCAUCUAUCAAAGAGAUCUCAUAAAUUACCAUUAGGGUGGAUAACCAGAUUUUACCACGUAGGCAUUCUCAAAUACACCACAUAGGCAUUUCGUAAUUUGCCACAAAGGCAAUACAAAUUACAUCUCUAAACCUUAGUAGAUCACACUACAUAGGUAACACAUAGAAUCAGAUGUUUUCUAUCUGAGUAGACUUUCAAAGAAGGUGUCAUGUGUAACACCCCUUACCCGUGUUUGACACCGGAACAGGGUAUAAGGUAUUACCGGAUAUAAACACAUGCAAUCGUAUAAAACUGGGUCAUGAAUUUGCGUUCAAAUUUAAAAAAUUUCACAUUUCAUCUUAGAGUCCCUAAUAUGGGCCUACGAAGCCCAAAUCAUGCUUUGGAAACGGUUCGGGACCAAACUGAGAACUUUAGAAAACUUUAAAAAAUUUCAUGAAAAACAGGGGCACACUCCCGUGUGAUAUUAGGACACGACCGUGUGGCUCGCAUGGCCAUGUCCCUAGGUCGUGCACUAAUAUGGCUUGUCGUUGCAAAAAAAUUUACGUCACACAUAGAUAUCACCACUCAUUCAUCCUCAUAUGUAAGCAUACACAUCCUUGAAAUGCAUCAUCAUAGACUUAUAAUAUAGCCUAUAUACCAACAUCAAAUGGCCUUACACAACAAUGAACUUUCAAAUAGCAUAGGCCAACAUUUUAGGCCAAAAGAAUUAUGACAAAUACAUAAAUAACCAAGUCCCCUAUACAUGCCAUGACCUUAAGUAUAAGAAUUAUCAAUACCCAAUUUGUUAGUUUGAUAGUGUGAUAGGUUCUUUGGUGACUUCCAACCCGAGCUAACCUAAGGUCAUUAUAAACACAGAAAAUAAAUAGAGUAAGCUAUAUAGCUUAGUAAGUUGGUAUGUAAAUAAUAACAAAUUUAUUAUCAUGCUUUUACCAAUUCUCACAAUAUGUUCUCAAGAUCAUACAAUCAUAAUUGCACAUAGCUCCACUAUUUACUCUUGUUCAUCUCAAGCUUUCUACUCAAGUCACAGCCACUAAAUUAUUUAUAUCUUCAGCUAUGGAACUCAAAAUUAAGAUCCACUAAUUUUCCCUAAAACUAGACUCACAUAUCUUCUUAGCGUAAAAUUUUUAGAAUUUUUGGUCUAGCCAAUAAGUACAGUUUAUUCUUUAAAAUCUCCCCUAUUCUACUGUUUGACAGUUCCAACCCUUCUUCACUAAAACUUAAUUAUCUCAUCAUAUGGGAUUCAUAUGAUGUUCAUGUUUGUUUCUAUUGAAAAUAGACUCAAUAAUAAUUAAAAAAUCUAAACUCUAACUAAUAAUCAUUUUUAUAAAAUGUUUAAUUAUUUUCCAAAGUCAGAACAGGGGAUUUCAAAAUCAUUCUGACCCUGUCUAACAAAAAUUCAAAUAUCUCGUAAUAUUAAAUUCUUUUUUACACCGUUUCUUUUAUGUGAAAAUAUACUCAAUAAGAUUUAAUUUCAUAUCUUAUUCAACCUCUAAUUUGGUUUCCACCAUUUUUGAUGAUUUUUCAAAGUCACACAACUGCUGCUGUCCAAAACUAUUUUAUUGCUAAUUUUAGUCUCUCACGUUUUCUUUAUAUUAACUUUCAUUCAACAUUCACAUAGAUUUCGUAUGUACCUGUAUCACUUAAAUCAGUUAUACUUUCAUUUUUUUUAUCUUGGCUAUGUCGGUUGAUACACUUAAACCUCAAUGAAAACACAUUAUUUCAAUUCAACAUUAAAUAAUAUUAUUGGUUCAUAAUUCUUUCACAUUUAAUCAUCACAUAGUCAUAUUCGUUUACGCUUAGUCAUUUCGCGUUGAACACAUCGGAAUAAUAACGGAUACACAGUGGCCUUCACAUAGUACCACCCUUGUAGCCAAAGCUAUUUUAUUCACAAAGUGGCCUUCACAUAGUACUACAUUUGUGUCCAAAGCUAUUUUAUUAACAAAAUGGCCUUCACAUAGUACCACACUUGUGUCCAAAGCUAUUAUAUUCACAAAGUGGCCUUCACAUAGUACCACACUUGUGUCUAAAGCUAUUUUAUUCCUCAGGUUCAACCGAAAAAAUUCUCGCUUAGCACAAUGCCAUGGACUUAUUUCACUUAGCACAUUACCAUUGACUUAUUUCACCUAGAUGCCAUGGUCUUAUUUCACAUAGCACAAUGUCAUAUCCAUAUAUGAUCUUACAUGUGAAUCACUUAUUUUACUUAGCACAUUGCCAUGGUCUAACCAUGGUCAUUUACCGUCAAUUCAUAUUUCACUACGCAACGAUCGUGAUCUAUCCUGCGUUUUUACUCAAUUCGAACAUUUACUUUAAUUUUCACAAUUUAAUCAAAUAUAUAAUAAUAUUGCAUAAUUAACACAAAUCAAUAACGUUUAUUAACAUACGAACUUAGCUCGACCUAAAAUGGCGAAAAGGACCAAAUCAUUCAAUACUCAUUUUUCCCUUGUUCUAAGUCCGAACUUCAUUUUUUUAUCAAUAAUAUCACAUUCGACUUAUUAAAUUAUUAUACUAUUCAAAUCAGUCCAAAAAUCAUAUUAUGGUAAAAUUAUAUUUUUGCCCCUAAAGUUUCACAUAUUUACAAAUUUUCCUCUAGGCUCAUAAAAUGAAAUGUAAUCAUUUUUCUCAAUACCCAAGCCUAGCCGAUUCAUAUUCCCUUUAUAGCAGCCUACAUUUUUCACUAAAUCACAUUUCCUACACAUAUUUUACAACUUUUAUAAAUAGGUCUUUUUAUGAAAUUUCAUCAAAAAUCACUUAGUAAAAGUUGUUUAUCACACUCCAAACUUUCAUAUUUUUCCAUAAAACAUCAAAACACAUGUAUGUCAUCAAUAGGUAAAUUUUAAACACAAACCCUAUCUCAAAAUAAUGGUAGAAAUAGCUAAACCGAGUUACGAGGAUCUCAAAAAUGUAAAAAUCAUUAAAAACGGGGCUAGAACAGAGUUACAUCGAGCUUGGAAGCUUGAAAAACCCUAGCCAUGGUUUCCCCUUGUGAAAUUAGGCCAUGGGGUUGAAGACGGACAAAAAUUGGUUUUUAAUAUUUUUUUAAUUCAUUUAAUUACUGAAUGACCAAAAUGCCUCUAACUUAAAAAUAUUAUAUUUCACCUAUUUCAUGUCCAUUUUUGUCCAAAAAAUUAACCAAUGGUAUAAUUACCAUUUAAGGACCUCCAAUUUAAAAUUUCAUAACAACUGGACACCUCUAACAUGUAGAACUCAACUUUUACACUUUUUACAAUUUAGUCCUUUUAACUAAAUUGAGUGCCCAAACGUCGAAAUUUUUGAACUAAAUUUUCACAAAAUCAUUCCAUGAAACCUUAGACCAUAAAAAUAUAAUAAAAAUAAGUUUUUUUCCUCGUCGAAUUUGUGGUCCCGAAACCAUUAUUUCGACUAGGCCCAAAAUCGGGCUAUUACAUCAUGGGUUUCUCCCACAUGACUUAUACAUUUUCGCAUAUCAUGACCUGCCAUUCUAGUCUACAUACUACUAAAGGAAUCACCAUGCGUAUUUUUAUAGUCAUACAAUACGAUGGGUCUUCGCCACAUAGCCCCAUACAUACUUUCAUGUUGUGAUCUAUACGUCCAAUCUACAUUUCUUUGAAGGCAUCACCAUGAAUGUUGUCUUGCAGCGUGAUCUGUCUGUCUGGUUAGCAAUAUUUCCUCCUUACUAGAUGCAUAACAAAUGGAUAUUGGUUUAUCCCACAUAUAUUACACUACCCAAUUCAUUUUCUUACCUAAUUUGUUCAUAUUCUCUUAAUAAAAUUCAUCUUAAUCUACCAAUUUCAUUUACGACUAUAUCUCAUAGCAUUUUGAUCAUACAUAUGUAUUUUUAUAACUAAAGUGAACAUGCAGUAUAAUUAUUUUGAUUCAUAUAAAUACUAGUUGUCCUAGAUAUUUUCUUCAUAUGUAUUUUAAAUUGAGCAUCCCACAGAUAAGAGUCAAGAUACAGAUUCACCUUAAACUCAUCAGGAUUGCAGCUUGGAGUUCCAAAACUCAAACAUCCCUUUUGAACUAGCAACAACAACUGUAAAACCCAACUAGCACAGUACUUAAGCAAACUAGGCGUACUAUACAUUUGGUAGUAACUCUUACCAGACUUACUCUUUGCUUGACACAUUAUUUUCUUAAAUAGUAGGAUAACUUGAGAUAGAAGCUUUAAUUACUUAAACGAUGGGUAUCUUUAAUUACUUACACGACGGGUACAUUAAUCCAAAUUCUUAUUUGCCAAAAAACUUUAAAUAGGCAGACUAUUCUAUGCCAAUCAGGCAUCUUCACAUCUACACGCCUUCAAAUCGAGUCUAUCAGAUUUGGGGUGUGACAUAUUUAAUUGGAAAAUUAAUUAAUUAAAAUUAAUUUAAUAAAAUAUUUAUUUUAGAAACGUGUAUUGGGUUGGAUUAAAUUAUACAGUGUUGGAUUAAAAGUCUAUGAAGCACAUAUAAUUGGACUCCAUAUAAGAGAGGCCCAAAACUCCUUUCAAUAAGUAUGAGGGGCGACAACCCUAGUAUAAUUAACUAGUUCUAGUCACCCCUCUCUCUUAAUUAAACUAGGAGACCGGAUUUUAUAUUAAAUAAGUAUUUUUUGUAUUCUACUGAAUCAACUAAGGUUCCUCUAUCUCUCCCUAUAAAUAGAUGAAAUUGGUAAAGAUAAUGUUAAAUAUGACUCCUAUUUUCAGUCAAAUUUGAGAAAUGAUCUUUUAGUUAAACUCUAUUUAUUUGUUUCAAUCAAACACUGAUUAGUUUAGAUUAUUUUAUUAUUACUUGACCUAUGAAUUUAGCCUAUAAAUAGGCUCUUUUACAACCUUAGAAAAUACACCCAUUAGAUAUUAGAACUCAUAAUACAUUUAGAGAAUUUUGUGUUUAUGUUUUGAGGGUUCUUUGUUUUCAGGUUUUCGAGGUUUAGUUUUAUCUCCAUCUUUUAUACUCUUCAUUCUUUUACCAUUAUAGUAAAAUUAUCUUUGCCCGUGGUUUUUUAUCCUCUUUGGAGGGGUUUUUCCAUAUUAAAUUUGUGUGUUCGAUUUCUCAAUUUAUUUCACUAUUUUUUUACUUGUUACUUAAUCGGGUCGAUCCUAACAAGUGGCAUCAGAGCUAGUUCAAUUUUCAUAGAUUAGUCCAUUCAGAUAUGACAUCAACAAGGUUUGAAAUUGAGAAGUUCAAUGGUGAGACAAAUUUCAAUCUGUGGCAAGUUCGGAUGAUGGCAAUUCUAGUUCAAACCAGCUUGAAAAAGGUUGUUACUGAGAAAAAGCCUGAGAAUCUAAAUCAAACAGAAUGGGAAGAGCUUGAUGAAAAGGCUUUGUCUGCAAUCCACUUGUGCCUUACGAAUACGGUAUUGCAACAGGUAUUUAUGGAGAAAACCUCAUCCGCAUUGUGGAAAAGGUUAGAAACUCUUUAUGCGACUAAGUCUUUGGCUAACCGUUUAGUUUUGAAACACGUCUAUUUACGUUUCACAUGAAUGAAGGUAAGCUUCUUAAAGAUCACAUCAAUCAAUUCAUUACUCUUUUAAACGAUUUAAAGAAUGUUGAGGUUUAUAUUAACAAUAAAGAUCAGGUUAUGCUAUUAUUGUGCUCUUUACCCUCUUCAUACAAGUCUUUCAGGGAGACCCUGAUUUAUGGCAGAGAGAAACUCUCGUUCGAAUAUGUGAAGGGUCAUUUGUUGAGUAGAGACAAACUCGACAAUGAGUUUCAUUUGGAUAGCAAGAAAGAUAGGCAAGCUUCCGUUUUGGUAGCAUUAAAGAAACGAGACAAAAGGAGUUGCUAUUGUAAAAAGUUAGGUCAGGUCGAAGCAAAUUGUUAUAAACUGUGAAAUAAAAGAGCUGUUGAGAGUGACGAGGAAGAUGUAGCUAGUGCUUAUUUGGCCGAUGAAAAAGAUGAUGAUUUCUUGUUAGUGUCAACAAGUGAUAACUUCAAGCUCACGUCCGAGUGGAUCUUAGAUUUGGGAUGUUCUUUCCACAUGUGUCACAAUAGAGAAUGGUUCUCCACAUACAGUUUGGUUGAAGGUGGAGUUGUGCGUAUGGGAAACGAUACAUCUAGUAAGGUAAUUGGUAUUGGUACUGUUAAAAUUAGGAUACACGAUGGGAUGAUUAUGACACUCUCAAAUGUCAGGUAUGUACCUGAUUUACGAAAGAAUCUCAUCUCAUUGAGUAUUUUAGACUUGAAAGGAUGCAGAAUCAACAUCAAGUCGAGUGGUAUUAAUGUAUCUCGUGGAGCUCUCGUUUUGUUAAAAGGUAAAAUAAUCGGCAGUCUUUAUAUUCUAGAAGGUUCUAUAGUGACCGGUGAAAUCGGACGUCCCUCGUCCAUUAUGGAGUCGAAUUCAACUUGUUUGGAGUAGAGGUAACUUGGUCAUAGUAGGGAAAAAGGUAUGACUGUUUCACUGAAGAGAGGUUCUCUUUUGGAUGCAGGUUUUGAAAAGUUUGUGCACUGUGUUCAUGAAAAUCUGACUCGGGUUAGUUUUGAUUUGGUAGUGUACAAGUCGAAAGAAGUCUUCCAGUUUCUAAGCAAAAAUUCAACUCAGUUUACUCCUUGCAUAGUUCAAGAUAUGCUCGUGGCAGGCUUUGGCAAAGAUGGCGUUGUGGAAAUAUGAGUCAAAGUGGAGAUUUUUUAAAUAUGACUCCUAUUUUCAGUCAAAUUUGAGAAAUAAUCUUUCAGUUAAACUCUGUUUAUUUGUUUCAAUCAGACAUUGAUUAGUUUAAAUUAUUUUAUUAUUAUUUGACCUAUGAAUUUAGCCUAUAAAUAGGCUCUUUUACAACCUUAGAAAAUACACCCAUUAGAUAUUAGAACUCAUAACACAUUUAGAGAAUUUUGUGCUUACGUUUUGAGGGUUCUUUGUUUUCGGGUUUUCGGGGUUUAGUUUUAUCUCCAUCUUUUGUGCUCUUCAUUCUUUUGCAAUUAUAAUAAAAUUAUCUUUGCACGUGGUUUUUUAUCCUCUUUGGAAGGGUUUUGCCACGUUAAAUUUGUGUGUUCAAUUUCUCAAUUUAUUCCGCUAUUUUUUUACUUGUUGCUUAAUCGGGUCGAUCCUAACAGAUAAAAAUACAAGUUAUAAACAACUUUGAAAUAUUGUUAUUCUACUAGAAAAGAGUUAGAAUUUAUUUCUAAGUAUAAAUUCUAUUUUCCAGAAAUAACAACUAAUUUUUUUUUUUACUUUCAGUUUCUAUAAGCGAGAUUUACUUUCCUGCUGAAAGUAAAAAAAAAUGUUUUUAGUUCUAUGUUUGAUUUAUAAUUGUUGGAGCCCACACUAGAAACAAUUUGUGGUACGAGAAAUAGUGGAGAAGGUUGUUCAAUUGAAAGUCUGGAACGUCAAAGAUCCGUCUCACUCAAAGCAGAGGUAAUUUUUGGAAAAAAAAAUUAGUGUUAUGAGUAUUACAAACCAACUCGAUUUUUAAUUUUAUUUUUUCGUUAUACAAGAAAACUAUUCCGAAUCGAAUAUUUUUCAACAUUUACAUGCAUUAGAGUUUUGAUAUCGUAUAUGGCUCAAGUGUGCAAUUCUUGUUUUUUUUUGGAGGAAUACCUAGUGUGUUUGAAAUGUCAUCCAUGUAUCCAAAUUUCUUUUUCCAUGUUCGAUCAAUUAGGGCAACAUUUAAAUGGCAAUUUUUAAAGUGGUGUGACAAAUGAAAUUUUAUAUGACUGGUGUGGUUUGAUGGAAGCUUAAUUCGAAAUGUGACAUUAAGAUAUAUAUGAAUUGAUGAUUAUUGUUUAUAUGAUUUAUAUGUUAUGAAGUGUUAACAUAUUUGUUGUUUUGAGCAUGUUUGAAUUGCUUGAAAGGAUUUAUAUAUAAAUUGUUAGUAUGCCUAUUGUCUAUUGUUUAUUAAGCAUGUAUGGUGUAUAUGGAUUUCGAGUGCACAAUUAAGCUUUUGAGAAAAAGUUGAGCGUGCAGAUUUUUUCCAUGCGCGGGUUACAAGGAGAUUGGAGGUUGAUUUCCAUAUUUGUGCAGCAACAAUAUAAGGAGUUCUCAACGAGUCUACUUAAUUUGUAAAGACUUUUGGCUUUUUAGUAAUCUAUGGCAUGUACUUGUCUAAUUACGCUUUAAUCUUAUCAAUUGGAAUUUUUAUUUGGAAUUUUUAGUUUUUUCUUUUUUUUUUAAAUCUUUUGGCAUAUUGAUAUUUGUACGGACACAUUAUAGUGACUUUUGGUACUAAUUUUUAUGUGAUUUCUAAUGAUAUGUUUGAAAUAGCAAGUCUUUUUUUACUAGCAUGACUAAAAUUUGAUUUGAUAUGUUUCUAGGCAUGAAUUUAUAUGUUAUGGUGAUGUUUUAGUAUGUCUAACUUCCUGAAUGUAUUAGGUAACAUGUUUAGGAUAUUUAAAGGCAUGAUUGCAUGACAUUUUUUUUACUACAUUUUGUAAGCUUAAGUCUCGAGAUAAGAUAAACAUGUUUCAAGACGUGAAACAUUACUUAAACUGUACAUUUUUAAGUGCAUGUUUGAAGAUAUAGAGAGCUAAGUCUCGGCACAUACAAGCAAGUCUCAAAAUAUUAGGAUUUGUCUUGAUACUUUGGCCUGGGUAUUGAGACCUGACUCCUCAUUUGAUUAAUUUUGGCCCUAGAACUUUGUAAUAAGGUCAUUUGAGCUUGAUUUUCACUAAUAUUGAUAUGUAAUCAUCCAAAUUGUUGUGUAACAUGUUUUUAACUCAAAUUUAUAUGCAUUUUGACUUUAAGUUUGAUUGUUUGAGUUGCUUCAGCAAUGUAUGUGAUGCUAUAUAUUCAGUUGUCUUUACAGAUCAAAUGUAGAGUGUUUCAUGUAUUUUUAAUAAUUGUAUUAAAUUUAUAAAAAUGAAAUCAUUAAAAAUAGAAUAAUUUAGGUUAUAGAAAACUAAACAAAUCCUAAAAAAAAAAAUUCAUAAACUAAGGUGAUACUAUUUUAGUACAAACAUUAUAGGGAUGCUAAUCAUUCUUUACCCAUAAUCAUUUUUUUAGGAUUUUCCUUAAAUUAGUUCUAAAAUAAAUCAUACCUAACGUAAUUAAUUAGUGAAGACUCUAGCUAUAAUUUCCAUGUCCAACUUAUUAGAAAUAACCAACAUCUAUUCGUAACACUAGCUUAUACAAAUUGUAAAAUUUUAAAAAUGAAACUUGUAAUUAUCGUAUUGUCUAUCAUAACUUACUAAUUUGUUAUAAAUUAGUAAUGAUUAUUUUAUCUACCAUUUACUACAAUAUUAUUAAUAUAUCACUACAAUCUAUAUAAUUAUUUGUUACUAUAUUAAGUAUCUAAUAAAUAUUUUACAAAUUUAAGGGUCUUAGUAAAAGGAUUAUUUAGGACGUUAAGUGAAUUGUGCUUUAACAUGUAAAUUAAAAUAAUUUCAAAACUUAAAAUUAUAAUUAAAAUAUCAUAUUACAAAAAAUAGAUAUUAGUAAAUAGAGAAGUUACUUAUUUUUUUAUUAAUAGAUUAUAUAAUUUAUAUAGGUCUAAUUAUGAAAUUUAUUAUUACGUUGUCAAUAAUUUAAUUUAAUUUUAUAAAAAUUUUAGUUAUAAUUCUACUUUGAUAAACAUCUUUUAAUUAAAAAAAUGUAAUGUAGACAUGAUUGUGAGCCACCCUAUUAAGUUAUCAUAAUUUCAAACUCAAAUAUGUAUUAAUAGUUGUAUCCUAAAAGAUGAUUAUGUUUUUAAGUGUACAACUUUUAAAAGUUAUAUAUAAAUUUUCUAUUAGAUAUAAAUUUAUUAUAGUUUUAUCUAUAAAUUAGUAAAUUUUAUUAAAAAAUCAAUCUAAAAGGUUUAAAAUUUAAUUACUUAAUUAACCAACUUUAUUUUUUUUGGUAUAUUUAGUUCAUUUAUAUUUAAAUAAAUUAAUAAAAUUAUUAUGCCAAACUCUAUUCUUACAUAUUUAUUAAUUUAAAUCUAAAUAAAAAAUAUAUAUGUAUAUAUAUUUAAAUUGAAUAAUUUUGUUUAUUUUAACCUUUUAAAAGAUAUUUUUAUUAUUCACUAAUAGUUGCUUAUAUCUAUACGGAUGAUACAAGAGAUACUAGAACAUGAGAAUUAUUAGCAGAGUUAAGUGGCUAUAUAUGUGGCUUUAGCUUCACCACCAAAAACAUCAACAAGAUUUUUCCAAAUCCACGAGGCAUAAAAUCAACCUAUACAACUCUCCAAAAAAUCCAAUUGCAAAUCCACACCAAUGCAGCAACCAAUAGACUGCUGCUGACAUGUACAUUUCCUGAUCCACAACAUCUUCUCAUUUCCAUUAUAACCCCUUCUCUCCUCCAAACCAAAAUAGACUACAAUAACCAUCGGCAAACAAACCAAGUCAACCUAAAGCCUUAGGCACCAUGGCAACCUCUGCUAUCCAACAAUCUACUUUUGUUGGCCAGACCGCUUUGAAGCAGUCCAAUGAGCUCUUACGCAAAGUCGGAGCUUUCAAUGGUGGUCGUGUUACCAUGCGCAGAACUGUGAAAAAUGCCCCUACUAGCAUCUGGUAUACUUUUGUUACUACUUCCUAGUACUAACUAGUAGCAUUUUGUUAUAAGGAUCUUUUCAGUCUAAUCAUUGAUGGUUAACCCAAAUAUUGUGAAACAACGGACUGUAAAAAAUUCAAUUUGUACAGUACAUUCUAGCAGCAAUCUGCCUUAUUUUAAGCCAUACAUUUAAAGAGAAAUAACAUGUACAAGCGAAAUCAUGCAACUGAACUAUAUUUCUGCUUUUUGAUCUGAUUACCUACGGUUUGGUUUUAAAAACAGGUAUGGCCCUGACCGCCCAAAGUACUUGGGUCCAUUCUCAGACCAAAUCCCAUCAUACCUGACAGGUGAAUUCCCUGGUGACUAUGGGUGGGACACUGCUGGGUUAUCAGCUGACCCUGAGACAUUUGCUAAGAACCGUGAGCUUGAAGUGAUCCACUGCAGAUGGGCAAUGCUUGGUGCCCUUGGUUGUGUCUUCCCUGAAAUUCUUUCAAAGAAUGGAGUUAAGUUCGGAGAGGCAGUUUGGUUCAAAGCUGGAUCUCAAAUAUUCUCCGAGGGCGGCCUUGACUAUCUUGGCAACCCAAACCUUAUCCAUGCUCAGAGCAUUCUUGCAAUCUGGGCAUGCCAAGUUGUGCUCAUGGGAUUUGUUGAAGGAUACAGAGUUGGUGGGGGACCACUUGGUGAAGGACUGGACCCAAUUUACCCAGGUGGUGCUUUCGACCCACUUGGACUGGCUGAUGAUCCUGAUGCGUUCGCAGAAUUGAAGGUUAAGGAGAUCAAGAAUGGCCGCCUUGCAAUGUUCUCCAUGUUUGGAUUCUUUGUCCAGGCUAUUGUCACAGGAAAGGGUCCCAUUGAGAACCUCUUUGACCACCUUGCCGAUCCGGUGGCCAACAAUGCAUGGGCUUAUGCCACUAACUUUGUCCCCGGAAAAUGAACUUAGAUUAUAGAUACGUCUCUGAAAGCUGUAACAUUAAUUACUAUGUAGUGUCUGUUGCUGUGUACUGAUGUAAUUCACUGCUAGUCUUUUGAGCUGUUGUAUCAUUAAAGCCAUAUCCUUUUUCCCUGAAAUAGCAC
RNAcentral lists this long non-coding RNA (38223 nucleotides) under Gossypium barbadense (sea-island cotton). Its description in RNAcentral is "long non-coding RNA (GBAR_LNC006431)". Lineage: Eukaryota; Viridiplantae; Streptophyta; Magnoliopsida; Malvales; Malvaceae. The record is from RNAcentral.